Nymphaea colorata (pocket water lily) is the source of this 1360-nucleotide RNA transcript. It is a transcript of the gene named probable phospholipid hydroperoxide glutathione peroxidase, with no coding region annotated. NCBI's taxonomy places the organism in Eukaryota, Viridiplantae, Streptophyta, Magnoliopsida, Nymphaeales, Nymphaeaceae. The transcript has 7 exons. The record is from RefSeq and is a predicted model, not a curated record.
CCAGAGCACGACUCGACUCCAUCAGUCCAUCUUACAUGUGAGAGUGACGCUGUACUGUAGCUUCUUUUGACAAGACGACUCGUCUGUUGUUCGGAUCUUGCUCCACCGCUGCCAGACACCUCGACUCGGAGACUCUCCGGCCGCCCAGAUUCUUCUUCUGCUGGACAAACCAGCCGAAUUCGAUGGCGAUGCGUGCCGUGUUCUCUCCUUCUUCUCUCUUCUCUUUCAACAAGACCACCACGACCGCCACUGCUGCUUAUUCUGCUCACCUCCCCAACUUCCCAUUUGCUCCGUCCUGGAGGAGGAGCAGCUCCCUCCUCUUUAACAUCCCCACUGCCGCUUCUCUUAGUGUGCGCCGCCGGGGAAGGCGUGGGAAACUGUCUCCUGGCGUGGCUUACUCCGCCGCUUCUGUCUCAGGGAAAAGCAUCCACGAUUUCGCCGUGAAGGAUAUCGAUGGGAAGGACAUGUCAUUGAGCAAGUUCAAGGGAAAGGUGCUUUUGGUAGUUAAUGUUGCUUCUCGAUGUGGUUUAACUAAUGCCAAUUACACAGAGCUUAGUCACCUCUAUGAGAAGUAUAAGUCCCAAGGUUUUGAAAUUCUAGCCUUCCCUUGCAACCAGUUUGGUGGGCAAGAACCUGGCACAAAUCCACAGAUAAAGGAAUUUGCUUGCACUAGAUUCAAAGCAGAAUUUCCUAUUUUUGACAAGGUAGAUGUGAAUGGACCAAAUACUGCUCCAGUCUACCAAUUUCUCAAGUCAAGCACAGGAGGGUUUCUUGGAGAUCUGAUCAAAUGGAAUUUUGAAAAGUUUUUGGUGAAUGGGGAAGGGAAGGUGGUAGAAAGAUACAGCCCAACAACAAGCCCUUUCCAGAUUGAGAAGGAUAUUAAGAAGCUUUUGGCAGCAUGAUCAUGUUUUCUCAUGAUUGGGCAGCAAUGACUGGGACUAAAUCUCUGUAUGAAGUUCAAAUGUCCAGUAUCUAAUGUAAAUAACAGGUGUUGGAUCAUGCAUCUUAGCUCUGAACAACCAGAAGAGAAGUUGCUAGAGUGGAACUGGUGGAAUGUACGCUUUGGUGGUUGGAAAGUUGCUAGCUGUUUUCCUGACCAUGGUUCUACUAUUUCCAACAAGGGGAUAAUUUUGUUGGAUGUUUAUGUGUUUCUAAAAUAAACCUUAUGAACAUGACUAAUACAGUCAGUGAGCAGCAUUUCAUGCACCAGUUGCGAUUCGUUUGUGGGUAAUUUAUGGCAACCUACUUAUAGGGAAUGUGUUUGACUGAACUGCUAUUGCGUUCCAGCCCACUAGAACUUGCGUGCGGUAUCAUUAUUGUUCUUGUUAUUAUAUAGAAUGGAUCAUUCCUUAACGAUCAA